GUAAGGAAUAUUGGUCAAUGGAGGCAACUCUGAACCAGCCAUGCCGCGUGCAGGAAGACGGCCCUCUGGGUUGUAAACUGCUUUUAUCCGGGAAUAAACCUGCCUUCGUGAAGGUAGCUGAAUGUACCGGAAGAAUAAGGAUCGGCUAACUCCGUGCCAGCAGCCGCGGUAAUACGGAGGAUCCAAGCGUUAUCCGGAUUUAUUGGGUUUAAAGGGUGCGUAGGCGGCCUGUUAAGUCAGGGGUGAAAGACGGUGGCUCAACCAUCGCAGUGCCCUUGAUACUGAUGGGCUUGAAUGGACUAGAGGUAGGCGGAAUGUGACAAGUAGCGGUGAAAUGCAUAGAUAUGUCACAGAACACCGAUUGCGAAGGCAGCUUACUAUGGUCCUAUUGACGCUGAGGCACGAAAGCGUGGGGAUCGAACAGGAUUAGAUACCCCGGUAGUCC
RNAcentral lists this ribosomal RNA (445 nucleotides) under uncultured bacterium. RNAcentral's name for it is "bacterial SSU rRNA". It matches the Rfam family "Bacterial small subunit ribosomal RNA", at positions 354 to 796 of the family's 1533-position model. The record is from RNAcentral.